GCUGGCACCAACCUACAACCUAACUGUAUGUAUCACCACGUCCCACAUUUUCUAUUACUGGAAAUAGAAAAGGGGCUGCUGAAUAGCAUCAAGAGGUUGCUCUGUAGAGCAAAGCUUCUCUUAGUGCAAGGCACUUUCCUGUCAGCUCAAAAAGCAAAACGGGUACAACUUGAGUUGGGUUACAAUAGGAUGGUGCACACUUGGUGCCUCUGCACUGAUGUGAGUUAUGAUUCCUUGGCUGCUAAGGAACCUGGGUUUUCUGUUUUUCUUUUGUAUAGGACAGGGACUGAAUUACUCACUUGAUUGCCUUCUUAAAGGUUUUCUGAUAUAUGAUAAAUUGACUAAAUUAAACAGGAAGAAAUUUGUUCCCAGAUAUAUGACCAGUUUGGAGCAUCAGAGGUCUUUGUUUCAGGAAGACACUAAGCUCUACUCCUUCCAACAGGCUUCCCCCUCCCCAUUCCUUUAGGUCAUCUAACUACUUCCCUCCAAACCACAGCCAUUAUUCC
This 506-nucleotide long non-coding RNA is filed under the name Marmota monax (woodchuck). Lineage: Eukaryota; Metazoa; Chordata; Mammalia; Rodentia; Sciuridae. The record is from RNAcentral.